Molecule: small nuclear RNA, 125 nt
Filed under: Ipomoea nil (Japanese morning glory)
Lineage: Eukaryota; Viridiplantae; Streptophyta; Magnoliopsida; Solanales; Convolvulaceae
Description: U11 spliceosomal RNA
Rfam family: U11 spliceosomal RNA
Source: Rfam by way of RNAcentral
AAAAAGGGUCGGCUGGCUAAAUAUGCCACAUUCGCCCGCUGGGUGAGUGCUGUAUGGCUAUCAAGACAUAUGGCCGACAUAAUUUGUGGAACCUUAUAGGAUUGGCUCCUUGGCCGAUCCUCUUA